This 253-nucleotide ribosomal RNA is filed under the name uncultured bacterium. RNAcentral describes it as "partial 16S ribosomal RNA". It matches the Rfam family "Bacterial small subunit ribosomal RNA", at positions 524 to 776 of the family's 1533-position model. The record is from RNAcentral.
UACGGGGGGGGCAGGCGUUGUUCGGAAUUACUGGGCGUAAAGGGCUCGUAGGCGGCCAACUAAGUCGGACGUGAAAUCCCGAGGCUCAACCUCGGGUCUGCAGUCGAUACGAGCAAACUAGAGUGUUGCAGGGGAGACUGGAAUUCCUGGUGUAGCGGUGAAAUGCGCAGAUAUCUGGAGGAACACCGGUGGCGAAGGCGGCGUUCUGGACUGUCUCUGACACUGAAGAACGAAAGCCAGGGGAGCAAACGGG